GUAGGUGGCAAGCGUUGUCCGGAAUUAUUGGGCGUAAGCGCGCGCAGGCGGUUCUUUAAGUCUGAUGUGAAAGCCCACGGCUCAACCGUGGAGGGUCAUUGGAAACUGGAGAACUUGAGUACAGAAGAGGAAAGCGGAAUUCCACGUGUAGCGGUGAAAUGCGUAGAGAUGUGGAGGAACACCAGUGGCGAAGGCGGCUUUCUGGUCUGUAACUGACGCUGAGGCGCGAAAGCGUGGGGAGCAAACAGGGAUUAGAUACCCUGGUAGUCCACGCCGUAAACGAUGAGUGCUAAGUGUUAGGGGGGUUUCCGCCCCCUUAGUGCUGCAGCUAACGCAUUAAGCACUCCGCCUGGGGAUACGGCCGCAGGCUG
Molecule: ribosomal RNA, 371 nt
Filed under: uncultured organism
Description: partial 16S ribosomal RNA
Rfam family: Bacterial small subunit ribosomal RNA
Source: RNAcentral